GUGAGGUUGACCGAGCGGUUAGGUGAUGGUCUGCAAAACCAUUUAGGGCAGUUCGAUUCUGCCACCUCACUCCA
This 74-nucleotide transfer RNA is filed under the name Minisyncoccota bacterium. Its description in RNAcentral is "tRNA-Cys". It matches the Rfam family "tRNA". Rfam says of the family: Transfer RNA (tRNA) molecules are approximately 80 nucleotides in length. Their secondary structure includes four short double-helical elements and three loops (D, anti-codon, and T loops). Further hydrogen bonds mediate the characteristic L-shaped molecular structure. tRNAs have two regions of fundamental functional importance: the anti-codon, which is responsible for specific mRNA codon recognition, and the 3' end, to which the tRNAs corresponding amino acid is attached (by aminoacyl-tRNA synthetases). tRNAs cope with the degeneracy of the genetic code in two manners: having more than one tRNA (with a specific anti-codon) for a particular amino acid; and 'wobble' base-pairing, i.e. permitting non-standard base-pairing at the 3rd anti-codon position. The record is from RNAcentral. Lineage: Bacteria; Bacillati; Minisyncoccota.